Molecule: ribosomal RNA, 253 nt
Filed under: uncultured bacterium
Lineage: Bacteria
Description: partial 16S ribosomal RNA
Rfam family: Bacterial small subunit ribosomal RNA
Source: RNAcentral
UACGUAGGGUGCGAGCGUUAAUCGGAAUUACUGGGCGUAAAGCGUGCGCAGGCGGUUAUAUAAGACAGUUGUGAAAUCCCCGGGCUCAACCUGGGAAUUACAUCUGUGACUGUAUAGCUAGAGUACAGUAGAGGGGGAUGGAAUUCCGCGUGUAGCAGUGAAAUGCGUAGAUAUGCGGAGGAACACCGAUGGCGAAGGCAAUCCCCUGGACCUGUACUGACGCUCAUGCACGAAAGCGUGGGGAGCAAACAGG